GGGUUGUGAGGUUAAGCGACUAAGCGUACACGGUGGAUGCCCCGGCAGUCAGAGGCGAUGAAGGACGUGCUAAUCUGCGAAAAGCGUCGGUAAGGUGAUAUGAACCGUUAUAACCGGCGAUGUCCGAAUGGGGAAACCCAGUGCAAUUCGUUGCACUAUCGUUAACUGAAUACAUAGGUUAACGAGGCGAACCGGGGGAACUGAAACAUCUAAGUACCCCGAGGAAAAGAAAUCAACCGAGAUUCCCCCAGUAGCGGCGAGCGAACGGGGAGCAGCCCAGAGUCUGAAUCAGCUUGUGUGUUAGUGGAACGGUCUGGAAAGUCCGACGGUACAGGGUGAUAGUCCCGUACACCAAAAUGCACAGGCUGUGAACUCGAAGAGUAGGGCGGGACACGUGGUAUCCUGUCUGAAUAUGGGGGGACCAUCCUCCAAGGCUAAAUACUCCUGACUGACCGAUAGUGAACCAGUACCGUGAGGGAAAGGCGAAAAGAACCCCGGCGAGGGGAGUGAAAAAGAACCUGAAACCGUGUACGUACAAGCAGUGGGAGCACCUUCGGGUGUGACUGCGUACCUUUUGUAUAAUGGGUCAGCGACUUAUAUUCUGUAGCAAGGUUAACCGUAUAGGGGAGCCGCAGGGAAACCGAGUCUUAACUGGGCGUUAAGUUGCAGGGUAUAGACCCGAAACCCGGUGAUCUAGCCAUGGGCAGGUUGAAGGUUGGGUAACACUAACUGGAGGACCGAACCGACUAAUGUUGAAAAAUUAGCGGAUGACUUGUGGCUGGGGGUGAAAGGCCAAUCAAACCGGGAGAUAGCUGGUUCUCCCCGAAAGCUAUUUAGGUAGCGCCUCGUGAAUUCAUCUUCGGGGGUAGAGCACUGUUUCGGCUAGGGGGUCAUCCCGACUUACCAACCCGAUGCAAACUACGAAUACCGAAGAAUGUUAUCACGGGAGACACACGGCGGGUGCUAACGUCCGUCGUGAAGAGGGAAACAACCCAGACCGCCAGCUAAGGUCCCAAAGUCAUGGUUAAGUGGGAAACGAUGUGGGAAGGCACAGACAGCCGGGAUGUUGGCUUAGAAGCAGCCAUCAUUUAAAGAAAGCGUAAUAGCUCACUGGUCGAGUCGGCCUGCGCGGAAGAUGUAACGGGGCUAAACCAUGCACCGAAGCUGCGGCAGCGACACUAUGUGUUGUUGGGUAGGGGAGCGUUCUGUAAGCCUGCGAAGGUGUGCUGUGAGGCAUGCUGGAGGUAUCAGAAGUGCGAAUGCUGACAUAAGUAACGAUAAAGCGGGUGAAAAGCCCGCUCGCCGGAAGACCAAGGGUUCCUGUCCAACGUUAAUCGGGGCAGGGUGAGUCGACCCCUAAGGCGAGGCCGAAAGGCGUAGUCGAUGGGAAACAGGUUAAUAUUCCUGUACUUGGUGUUACUGCGAAGGGGGGACGGAGAAGGCUAUGUUAGCCGGGCGACGGUUGUCCCGGUUUAAGCAUGUAGGCUGGUUGUCCAGGCAAAUCCGGAUAAUCAAGGCUGAGGUGUGAUGACGAGGCACUACGGUGCUGAAGUAACAAAUGCCCUGCUUCCGGGAAAAGCCUCUAAGCAUCAGGUAACAUCAAAUCGUACCCCAAACCGACACAGGUGGUCAGGUAGAGAAUACCAAGGCGCUUGAGAGAACUCGGGUGAAGGAACUAGGCAAAAUGGUGCCGUAACUUCGGGAGAAGGCACGCUGGUGUGUAGGUGAAGCCCCUGCGGGUGGAGCUGAGACCAGUCGAAGAUACCAGCUGGCUGCAACUGUUUAUUAAAAACACAGCACUGUGCAAACACGAAAGUGGACGUAUACGGUGUGACGCCUGCCCGGUGCCGGAAGGUUAAUUGAUGGGGUUAUCCGUAAGGAGAAGCUCUUGAUCGAAGCCCCGGUAAACGGCGGCCGUAACUAUAACGGUCCUAAGGUAGCGAAAUUCCUUGUCGGGUAAGUUCCGACCUGCACGAAUGGCGUAAUGAUGGCCGGGCUGUCUCCACCCGAGACUCAGUGAAAUUGAACUCGCUGUGAAGAUGCAGUGUACCCGCGGCAAGACGGAAAGACCCCGUGAACCUUUACUAUAGCUUGACACUGAACAUUGAGCCUUGAUGUGUAGGAUAGGUGGGAGGCUUUGAAGCGUGGACGCCAGUCUGCGUGGAGCCAACCUUGAAAUACCACCCUUUAAUGUUUGAUGUUCUAACGUUGGCCCCUGACCGGGGUUGCGGACAGUGUCUGGUGGGUAGUUUGACUGGGGCGGUCUCCUCCCAAAGCGUAACGGAGGAGCACGAAGGUUAGCUAAUCUCGGUCGGACAUCAGGAGGUUAGUGCAAUGGCAUAAGCUAGCUUGACUGCGAGCGUGACGGCGCGAGCAGGUGCGAAAGCAGGUCAUAGUGAUCCGGUGGUUCUGAAUGGAAGGGCCAUCGCUCAACGGAUAAAAGGUACUCCGGGGAUAACAGGCUGAUACCGCCCAAGAGUUCAUAUCGACGGCGGUGUUUGGCACCUCGAUGUCGGCUCAUCACAUCCUCGGGGCUGAAGUAGGUCCCAAGGGUAUGGCUGUUCGCCAUUUAAAGUGGUACGCGAGCUGGGUUUAGAACGUCGUGAGACAGUUCGGUCCCUAUCUGCCGUGGGCGCUGGAGAAUUGAGGGGGGCUGCUCCUAGUACGAGAGGACCGGAGUGGACGCAUCACUGGUGUUCGGGUUGUCAUGCCAAUGGCACUGCCCGGUAGCUAAAUGCGGAAGAGAUAAGUGCUGAAAGCAUCUAAGCACGAAACUUGCCCCGAGAUGAGUUCUCCCUGAGACUUUAAGUCUCCUGAAGGAACGUUGAAGACGACGACGUUGAUAGGCCGGGUGUGUAAGCGCAGCGAUGCGUUGAGCUAACCGGUACUAAUGAACCGUGAGGCUUAACCUUACAACGCCGAAG
This 2924-nucleotide ribosomal RNA is filed under the name Klebsiella pneumoniae. RNAcentral describes it as "23S ribosomal RNA". It matches the Rfam family "Bacterial large subunit ribosomal RNA". Lineage: Bacteria; Pseudomonadati; Pseudomonadota; Gammaproteobacteria; Enterobacterales; Enterobacteriaceae. The record is from RNAcentral.